CCUUCAUUGGAGCUAUUUGAAGAUUUUUGAAAAGCUACAAAGUUUACUGGCAGUCGAGGGAAUUUUGGUGUCAAAAUCAUUUUCGGGUAAUUCCUCUUUAAAUUUUUUUGAGGAGCUUAUUUACAAAUUGCCUUUAAAGUCUGGAUGCUGCAAAAAGAGGAGCAAAUAGGUUAGCAAGUUGGAGAAACAAAUGAGGCUGUGGGAGAAACUGUUCGUAAUGAUGAGUUGGAUGAUGAUGAAGGAAUGAAUCUUGGUGAGUGCUAAGGGUUGUCGAAACCCUCCAAAAUAAUUACUAAUUUUACUAAAUCUAACUCGUAAAAGUAGUGGGACGAGGUCGAAUCCCAAGAGAACCAAUGAAAUUAAUUUCUCAAAGUUAAAAAAUGGGGGGUUCUGGAUUUAAAUUUUGAAAUUUAAAUGGAUAAACUAAAAGGAAAACAAAAAUCAAUCUUACGAAACUUCCAAUCCGAAGGUAUGAUUUUCAUCUAAUUAUAAUCUUGAUCAUACGCUUUACACAAAAUUGGUUUCUUGAUUCAAGAACUUAGUCUACUUGGAAUAGUUGUGGUAAGUUUUAGUUCUCCUAAUUUAAUUAAUGUAGACCAAACAUCAAAAUUGAAUCUUAUUAAUUAAUCAACUGGGCACGAUAACAUUCCAUAUUAAUCAAAUAAUAGCAUUAUGGAUAAUGAGAAUGACUAAACCAAAAUCAAUUAAUUUGAGAUAGUUGCAAGUUAAUUAAUUUUGUCCCUUUGUUUCCCUAGAGUCUAUUAUGCAAGCGAUGUAAACAUGGAAAAACCAUAAAUAUACAAACAUAAGCCGACUCCUUGCUACUUAUUUCAAUCAUGCAUGAAAAUUAUGGAUCACAAACUCAUGGGUAGCAGUAGAACAAUUAAUAUUGAAUUAAGGCGUCAAUUUAAUUAAUAUAAACUGUUCACAAAUAAUAAGAACAAGAAACAAAGAAUACUUAAAAAAAAAAAAAGAAAUUUUUAUCUAACUUGAGCCUCCCAAGCUUAUAAUCGGACUUGAAUUACCCUUGAGUUGGAAAAAUUAAAGUCUAACCACGCAUGGUAGUGAGAGAAAUUGUAUUUAGGAGAAGAGAGGUUUUCGUUGGAACUUUGAUUGAUCUUCUAAUAAGCCUCAUCUAUUUAUAGAGAUUAACUUUAUCCUCUUUUAAAGAGAAAUUAUCUCUAAUAAGGAAUUCCUCACUAAGUGAGAAGCUUCUAUUUAAAAGAAAACAAAUUAACUAAAAGAGUUCCUAAUCAAUUAAGAAUUAUGUUUCCUACUUUGAUUAUAUUUCUUUAUUUACAAAAUAUCCUAAAAAUUCAUAAUUCUCAAAUUGAAGCGUUUUGUCAUAAUAAUAGUGUCUGUAUUUUAUCCGUUGAGUUGUUCCCAAUUUGGUGAAGUAUGCAUUAUCCUCUAAAAUUGCACUUUUAAAUUAUUAUGUGUGAAGGAAUUGGAAGGGAUGACUCCCCUCACUACUCCUUUUUAUAUUUCUCAAUAUCCAAAAUACCGAUAAAAUCAUACAUCAAUGAGAUGAAUCAUAAUGACAAUCAAGUGAAUAAGCAUUGAUAAGUUAUAAUUUAUAAAAACUCAAGUAUCUCAUUAACUCAUUAAAAUUAAAAUGUAAAAGACUUGACACCAUCACGGAGUUUCACUCAAUUUUCUCAAGGUGUUUUUAGGGUGCUUCACUCUCAGAGACAAAACUUAGCAUCACUACAACAAAUGAGGUCUUUUUCCGACACUUAAAAAAAGUCGGGAAAAAUCUUUAAAAUGCCAGGAGCUCCUUUUCCCGAUGAAAUAUAUGCAUCGGCAAAAAAGUCGAGAGAAGCGCGUCGGGAAAUGUCACUCCCAACGUAUUUGACAAUAAGUUUGGAAAAGUUGACUUUUCCCAAUGGUUUCAAAAAGUCAGGAAAAGUCAACUUUUCACGACCGUUUUCAAAAAGUCGAGAAAGGUUGACUUUUUGCAACUUUUUUUGAAAAAAUGUCAGGAUUUUUUUCCCUCGUUACUUAUGAUAAUUAAAAUCCCGGAGAUUUAGCGACCUAAUUUAUGAUAUUUCAAUUCACAUUAUUUAUAUAUCAAAAUAUCAAAUAUCAAAUAUAUAUCAAAAUGUUAAAUAAAAUAACAUCCUCGUAAUAUGAUGUUACAAAAAA
Molecule: non-coding RNA, 2145 nt
Organism: Momordica charantia (bitter melon)
Lineage: Eukaryota; Viridiplantae; Streptophyta; Magnoliopsida; Cucurbitales; Cucurbitaceae
Source: RefSeq, a predicted model, not a curated record